GCGAGAGUGGCGAAACUGGCAGACGCGCCGGACUUAGGAUCCGGUGGGCGCGAGCCCUUGGGGGUUCGACUCCCCCCUCUCGCACCA
This 87-nucleotide transfer RNA is filed under the name Candidatus Rokuibacteriota bacterium. RNAcentral's name for it is "Candidatus Rokubacteria bacterium tRNA-Leu". It matches the Rfam family "tRNA". From Rfam's summary of the family: Transfer RNA (tRNA) molecules are approximately 80 nucleotides in length. Their secondary structure includes four short double-helical elements and three loops (D, anti-codon, and T loops). RNAcentral also lists the same sequence under 2 other names. The record is from RNAcentral. Lineage: Bacteria; Candidatus Rokuibacteriota.